GAUGAACGCUGGCGGCGUGCCUAACACAUGCAAGUCGAACGGAGAUUACGGACGGAAGUUUUCGGAUGGAAGACUGUAAUUCUUAGUGGCGGACGGGUGAGUAACGCGUGGGCAACCUGCCCUAUACAGGGGGAUAGCAGCUGGAAACGGCUGGUAAGACCGCAUAAGUCGGCGAGACCGCAUGGUUUUGCCGGGAAAUGAGCAAUCAGGUAUAGGAUGGGCCCGCGUUCGAUUAGCCAGUUGGCAGGGUAAAAGCCUACCAAAGCAACGAUCGGUAGCCGGACUGAGAGGUAGGACGGCCACAUUGGGACUGAGACACGGCCCAAACUCCUACGGGAGGCAGAAGUUGGGGAUAAUGAACAAUGGAGGAAACUCUGAUGCAGCGACGCCGCGUGAGUGAAGAAGUAUUUCGGUAUGUAAAGCUCUAUCAGCAGGGAAGAUGAUGACGGUACCUGACUAAGAAGCCCCGGCUAACUACGUG
This 481-nucleotide ribosomal RNA is filed under the name uncultured bacterium. RNAcentral's name for it is "partial 16S ribosomal RNA". It matches the Rfam family "Bacterial small subunit ribosomal RNA", at positions 28 to 507 of the family's 1533-position model. The record is from RNAcentral.